CCAAUAGCGUAUAUUAAAGUUGUUGCAGUUAAAAAGCUCGUAGUUGAAUUUCGGGAUUCGUCCAUUGGUCAGGCUUAACUGUCUGUACUGAUGUGUCGGAUUUCUACCUUCUGAAGAACCUUCAUGCCAUUAAUUUGGUGUGUUGGGGAAUCAGGACUGUUACUUUGAAAAAAUUAGAGUGUUUAAAGCAGGCUAACGUCUGAAUACAUUAGCAUGGAAUAAUGAAAUAGGACGGUACGGUUCUAUUUUGUUGGUUUCUAGGAUCGCCGUAAUGAUUAAUAGGGAUAGUUGGGGGCAUUAGUAUUCAAUUGUCAGAGGUGAAAUUCUUGGAUUUAUUGAAGACUAACUACUGCGAAAGCAUUUGCCAAGGAUGUUUUCAUUAAUCAAGAACGAAAGUUAGGGGAUCGAAGACGAUCAGAUACCGUCGUAGUCUUAACCAUAAACUAUGCCGACUAGGGAUUGGACGAUGUUAAUUUUUUAAUGACUCGUUCAGCACCUUACG
RNAcentral lists this ribosomal RNA (502 nucleotides) under uncultured Glomeromycotina. Its description in RNAcentral is "partial small subunit ribosomal RNA". It matches the Rfam family "Eukaryotic small subunit ribosomal RNA", at positions 591 to 1092 of the family's 1831-position model. Lineage: Eukaryota; Fungi; Glomeromycota. The record is from RNAcentral.